Long non-coding RNA from Plodia interpunctella (Indianmeal moth), 2232 nucleotides. RefSeq lists it as uncharacterized. NCBI's taxonomy places the organism in Eukaryota, Metazoa, Arthropoda, Insecta, Lepidoptera, Pyralidae. The transcript has 2 exons. The record is from RefSeq and is a predicted model, not a curated record.
CACCUGUUAACAAAAAAUAUGAACUUCAAGAUCUCUCCAGAAUAGUUUUCUAACUACAGACCCAUUUAGUUCAUCUUACAUAAGUCAUCAUCUAGUCAGAGAGGAUGUGAAGGUUUAAUUACAAAUAGCUUCUAAAUUGGAUUCGAUUCGCUCCAAUAAACAAGUCGGGCGACGACGUAACGAGAUGGUAUCGGGCGUGUGUAAUUUUCUACUCCAACGUAUGAGCUCGGAAUCAAUUAGCAUGUCGAACUCGACUAAUUUCAAUCUAUUGGAGCUGACAUUUGCACGUCGCCGAGGAAGUGAACUAUUAAAUAACUGUUUAUUCCAGCUGGGCGCAGUUACUUGCAAUCUUAUGCUUACAGCCAGACGACAUCCUUAAAAGGAUGAAGUUGGUAUGCCGUUAUCCAACCCAAGUGCGGUCCAGCACCGUUGUCACACGGUUUUCCUACUAAACCCUUCUAUGAAUUAAAAGCAUCUAUCUCGUAAUGGCUUCUAAACCUAUUUAUUUGUACUAGCUUAAGAUGUUCGAUUUUUUAAAUGAUUUUCUGAAAGAAAUUCUUCCCACCUUAUAACAGCCCAGUGCAUAAUUAUAAAGUUGUCUUAUCUUGUAAUAAAAUAAGGAAGGUAAUCUGUGCAGGUUGGCGGUUCAAGGCUACGUAGCUAUAAGGAAGUAACCUCUGCACGUAGCUAUACACUAGUGUUACAUCAAGUAAUGUCGUCCAUGGCUAUAUCAUCUUCUAUGUCAUAUUACACAACGUAGAUUUAUUGAAGGAAUUUAUGGAUAUGUACGUGAAGCAUCUAAUUCUCAUAGUGGAACCUACUUUAUCCUAUCACUGUGUAGGUAUGCGUAGAAGUAUUUUUUAAUUUUUUGUCGUCGUCAUUGGUCUCCACAUUUAUUUGGUUAUUAAUUGUGACACUUAGAAGAAACUAAUUUUACAAGGUUUUACACAAAUCUUGUGGCUUUUUGAGAUGGUAAUAAAAGUUACAUUACAAUCAGUAUAACCACAUACGGUGUAACACUUUAAAUGAACAACAUCUAAUGACAUUAAAUUGGAAAAGUCAGCCGAGAACACUGAAUGCUAAUAAGAUGUGUGGCUUAAACUAAGCCCUCAUUAGCAUAAUGACUACAGCUGUAUUCACUCGUGAAUAAUGUUUUUUAUUUUAUUUAUAUGAUCAGAUCCUACGGCAUUUGUUCUAAGUAUUAAAUGAUAGUUUGGGCGAUUUCGACACUGAACUAAAACUGUGGUUGUCAAUAACGUAAUUAGUGUAAAGAUAUCAACGUCAGUGUCUGUCUGGUGACCGUCGGCCGUAGUUAAGGAAGAUGUGGUUAUUUCUGUGAUGUCAACGAAAAUAACGUGGUUCGGGUCGGCGGCGCCCUAUUACGAAAUGUGCGCUGGCGCAGGAAGAGGAUGUGCGCCCUAUGCCCACAAACGCCAUAUAUACUAUACAAUGCAUCUACUAUUUCUACUGAUAUGGAUAUUAUGUAGAAGAAGAUUCGCCAAAUGAUAACUGACGAAUGUAACUUAGCAGUUUAACCAUCAUAUAGUUCUAUUGGGUAACUGUCUUAUAAAUAAUUCCAUCACCAUAAUGUACAAUAUUUGAUUUGAUAGCGGUGGUGUCACAAGAAAAGACGCCGACAGGCUUUUUCGUUCGUUAACUAAUGAAAAUGAGCGUUACUAUACGCUGACUGACGGCUUAAAUCGAACGCACACCUGUCACACCCACCAGUUAGUUAAGGUUCGCAAAUUGCGUGAACGUAGUUUGUCAUUUGGUUACAUGAGAGCCAGCAGUGGUCUACAAAAUAAAGAUAAUACAGAAGAGAUACCAUGAGAGCAGAUUUUUGUUUCAAAUAUACUAAAAGAAAUACACAAAUGGACUCUAGUGGACAAUAUUUUUGGCGGAGGCAUGAAGUUAUCGAAGGUGAACGCGUGCGGCGACGGCCAGCCGCCUGCAAUGAUGUCAUCACCUCCACCUUGCUUCCACGAAACUAAGCUCCACAUUAUUAUUCAACCGCUCCACUAUCUCUGCUCGUUAUUCGACGUUAGCUUUGAAUUCUAACCAGUUUUGCCUCGCUUACCUCUUUUUGGGCUAAUUUUAUACAAAUUCUUGUGUUAUGGGUGUUUUAUUAUUUUAGUUUAAGCAGUGUUUCGCUAAACUAAUGUGAUGACCUCUAUACUUUCUAAGUUGAUACAAAGUUAAAUUUUAUAUGAAUAAAUCUCGGGCUAAAACAUU